Long non-coding RNA from Herpailurus yagouaroundi (jaguarundi), 394 nucleotides. RefSeq lists it as uncharacterized. Lineage: Eukaryota; Metazoa; Chordata; Mammalia; Carnivora; Felidae. The record is from RefSeq and is a predicted model, not a curated record. The transcript has 2 exons.
GAUGGUUGGAGAGUGGCUUCCCUAACAGAUGAAAUUAAGAGAGCUACCGGGACUCCCCGCACUCGAACCAUUACGAUUCGAACCAAGAUAUCUGCACAAGUGGAUCAGACUCAGUUGCACCCAAGCCAACCCUCCAUUCUUUGGAUAUAAUUCUCCACAUGUUUCCAUAAUGCAAACAGACAAUUGAGAAAUACGUACAUGCACACGUACAAUGCCAGGGUCCCAGCCAGCCUCUGCUAUUCCAGAGAAUUCCAGAGAAGGGGAAGACAGUGAUCCCGGAGGAAGCGGAGUUGUGUGUUUGAAUGCCAUGGUGUUUGACGUAUCAGGGGUUGCGUGGGUGUGGAGAGUCUUAACAAACAGGCAUAAAUAAAGCCCAUGAGGAUCUGUGAGGUCA